Oryza brachyantha (malo sina) is the source of this 443-nucleotide long non-coding RNA. RefSeq lists it as uncharacterized. Lineage: Eukaryota; Viridiplantae; Streptophyta; Magnoliopsida; Poales; Poaceae. The record is from RefSeq and is a predicted model, not a curated record. The transcript has 3 exons.
GAUGUCCACGAGAGAGUGGUGUAUCCGGCUUCUUUUGCUGGCGACCCAACUAUUCAGCGUGCUCUUCUUACUCGUGGCCACUGAGCCCAGCUGCGACAACUGCCAAAAUUGCGGGAAACCAAAUUGUGGCCGGAAGUGAAUCAUUUCAUUUGACCUGCCCACAUCUGAGGAAUGGAACUUGCAAGAAUGUCAGAGUAAACAGAAAUACCUAAACUUUGGAACAAGAAAAUAAAAUGAGGAGAAGGAUCUGAUGAACCAGUUUCUGCAGUGCAACUCCCUAGUUCUUGGUAGCAUUUAUUAUUUUAAUAAAAGCAUAAGUUCAAUCGUUGUUCUUCGUGUGUAUCUAGGAACAAACAAGUGCCAAAGGUCUCAAUUUAAUAGAUCCAUGUAAAUCUAAAUUAUCACCCCCAAAAUACCUCCAUGAAUAAAACUAUCGAAAUAUA